This 426-nucleotide ribosomal RNA is filed under the name uncultured prokaryote. Its description in RNAcentral is "bacterial SSU rRNA". It matches the Rfam family "Bacterial small subunit ribosomal RNA", at positions 355 to 796 of the family's 1533-position model. The record is from RNAcentral.
UGGGGAAUAUUGCGCAAUGGGCGAAAGCCUGACGCAGCCACGCCGCGUGAGUGAUGAAGGCCCUCGGGUUGUAAAGCUCUGUCGGGAGGGAAGAAGUUCUGACGGUACCUCCCAAGAAAGCACCGGCUAACUCCGUGCCAGCAGCCGCGGUAAUACGGAGGGUGCAAGCGUUGCUCGGAAUCACUGGGCGUAAAGCGGACGCAGGCGGAUCAGCAGGUCGGGUGUGAAAGCCCGGGGCUCAACCCCGGAACGGCACUCGAAACCGCUGGCCUGGAAUACGGGAGAGGGAAGCGGAAUUCCUGGUGUAGAGGUGAAAUUCGUAGAUAUCAGGAGGAACACCGGUGGCGAAAGCGGCUUCCUGGCCCGAUAUUGACGCUGAGGUCCGAAAGCGUGGGUAGCAAACAGGAUUAGAUACCCCCGUAGUCC